This 269-nucleotide unclassified non-coding RNA is filed under the name Hevea brasiliensis (rubber tree). The record is from RNAcentral. Lineage: Eukaryota; Viridiplantae; Streptophyta; Magnoliopsida; Malpighiales; Euphorbiaceae.
GCAGAGAAUGAGACACAUUUGGUAACCAUUAAUCUCUUCAAAUUUCUGCUUUCCUCUAUGCUAGUAUUAAGAGGGUCACAUUACAAAAUCCCCUGAAAAUUUGGUAUUCUUCUUCUGAGGACAAAUCUAAAAGCAGGAAGCACUUGCUAGUCCAUACAGUUUUGCCAGAACUUCUCAAGUGUUGUGUCAAAUAUCCAAUGGAUAUAUAUGGAGGUUAGAGUUAUCAAUUAGAGGUGUAAUUUAUUGUUUCUGAGCAGGUUGAAUUGGAG